AGUGAACGCUGGCGGUAGGCCUAACACAUGCAAGUCGAACGGCAGCACAGUAAGAGCUUGCUCUUACGGGUGGCGAGUGGCGGACGGGUGAGGAAUACAUCGGAAUCUACUUUUUCGUGGGGGAUAACGUAGGGAAACUUACGCUAAUACCGCAUACGACCUACGGGUGAAAGCAGGGGAUCUUCGGACCUUGCGCGAUUGAAUGAGCCGAUGUCGGAUUAGCUAGUUGGCGGGGUAAAGGCCCACCAAGGCGACGAUCCGUAGCUGGUCUGAGAGGAUGGUCAGCCACAACGGAACUGAGACACGGUCCCAACUCCUACGGGAGGCAGCAGUGGGGAAUAUUGGACAAUGGGCGCAAGCCUGAUCCAGCCAUACCGCGUGGGUGAAGAAGGCCUUCGGGUUUGAAAACCCUUUUGUUGGGAAAGAAAAGCAGCAGGUUAAUACCCCGCUGUUCUGACGGUACCCAAAGAAUAAGCACCGGCUAACUUCGUG
Molecule: ribosomal RNA, 492 nt
Filed under: uncultured bacterium
Lineage: Bacteria
Description: partial 16S ribosomal RNA
Rfam family: Bacterial small subunit ribosomal RNA
Source: RNAcentral